GGGGAAUUUUCCGCAAUGGGCGAAAGCCUGACGGAGCAAUACCGCGUGAGGGAGGAAGGCUCUUGGGUCGUAAACCUCUUUUCUCAGGGAAGAACACAAUGACGGUACCUGAGGAAUAAGCAUCGGCUAACUCCGUGCCAGCAGCCGCGGUAAUACGGAGGAUGCAAGCGUUAUCCGGAAUGAUUGGGCGUAAAGCGUCCGCAGGUGGCGAUGUAAGUCUGCUGUUAAAGAGUCUAGCUCAACUAGAUAAGAGCAGUGGAAACUACAUAGCUAGAGUACGUUCGGGGCAGAGGGAAUUCCUGGUGUAGCGGUGAAAUGCGUAGAGAUCGGGAAGAACACCAGUGGCGAAGGCGCUCUGCUAGGCCGUAACUGACACUGAGGGACGAAAGCUAGGGGAGCGAAUGGGAUUAGAUACCCCAGUAGUC
Molecule: ribosomal RNA, 425 nt
Filed under: uncultured cyanobacterium
Lineage: Bacteria; Bacillati; Cyanobacteriota
Description: bacterial SSU rRNA
Rfam family: Bacterial small subunit ribosomal RNA
Source: RNAcentral